CCUGUCGUCUCUUCUCCUUCUCGUAGAACGCUCGGCGCAGUACCUCGUGAAACAUUUCCAAUAUUCUCCACUCUGCACAGUCUGCACCAUCUUUCUCACCCAUGUCCCGUCACUCCACAGUUGUACACGCCAUUUUAAACCUACGAUCUGCUUCUAACUUGACUCAUUUAUGCCAGGAUAAUGGGGAAAUCUUCAUUCCCUCGUACCUGUGGUGAAUAUCAGUAACUUGUGGCCGAUUGGAUUUUUAUAUCGCAGACUAUGGGUUCGUGAGGUACAUGUUUAAAGUCUAACUCGCGACGGGAACUGGUGAACUUGUGUGAAUUGACAGUUUCGAAGUAUGGGACAGCUGACUGUGAAGAAACAUGGUUUAAUGCGAGAUCUUUAGGAAUCAGGGAUAUUUAACUAUGUAUACCUAGUACUGUGAAAUGUGGCUGCGAAGUUUCAACAAGAACGUUGGUGUAAUGUUAUCGAACGUUGAUCGAUCGUGCUUUACGAAUUGUUAAUCGUUCCGAGCAAUGUAAGUGUGCGAUCAUACUUCUUUACUUGUUUCAGGAAUUGUAAGUCGUUUUCGUUUAGAAACAUCAGGUGCCCUGUAAGAUAAAAGCGAUGAAUGUCUAGAAAUGAAGACUGUGAAAAACUGAAUUCAGAGAACUCAAAUAGAAUCAAAAAAUGUACGAUGAGUUUUGAGCAACUGAACUAUGAGUUUCUUAUGUUAAACGUAAAUUGAAUAAACGCGGUUGAUAUGCACCGGAAAAUUGUGUCGAUAAGAGAGUGAGCAAUAAAUUAUACCACCGUUGAAAAAUCA
Ceratina calcarata is the source of this 805-nucleotide long non-coding RNA. RefSeq lists it as uncharacterized. The record is from RefSeq and is a predicted model, not a curated record. The transcript has 2 exons. NCBI's taxonomy places the organism in Eukaryota, Metazoa, Arthropoda, Insecta, Hymenoptera, Apidae.